This 362-nucleotide ribosomal RNA is filed under the name uncultured Prevotella sp. RNAcentral's name for it is "bacterial SSU rRNA". It matches the Rfam family "Bacterial small subunit ribosomal RNA", at positions 355 to 715 of the family's 1533-position model. Lineage: Bacteria; Pseudomonadati; Bacteroidota; Bacteroidia; Bacteroidales; Prevotellaceae. The record is from RNAcentral.
UGAGGAAUAUUGGUCAAUGGGCGAGAGCCUGAACCAGCCAAGUAGCGUGCAGGAAGACGGCCCUAUGGGUUGUAAACUGCUUUUAUAGGGGAAUAAAGUGAGCCACGUGUGGUUUUUGCAUGUACCCUAUGAAUAAGGACCGGCUAAUUCCGUGCCAGCAGCCGCGGUAAUACGGAAGGUCCGGGCGUUAUCCGGAUUUAUUGGGUUUAAAGGGAGCGUAGGCCGGAGAUUAAGCGUGUUGUGAAAUGUAGACGCUCAACGUCUGCACUGCAGCGCGAACUGGUUUCCUUGAGUACGCAUAAAGUGGGCGGAAUUCGUGGUGUAGCGGUGAAAUGCUUAGAUAUCACGAAGAACUCCGAUUG